Long non-coding RNA from Cercocebus atys (sooty mangabey), 2978 nucleotides. RefSeq lists it as uncharacterized. The transcript has 2 exons. NCBI's taxonomy places the organism in Eukaryota, Metazoa, Chordata, Mammalia, Primates, Cercopithecidae. The record is from RefSeq and is a predicted model, not a curated record.
AAAAAAAAAAGAAGAAGAAAAGAAAUGUAUAAAUAAGUUUGUAUCAGUUAGAAAUUUUAUAUCAUUCUUUUUUCCUCAUUGAAUUUAUAUUUCCACUCCACAUAUAACACAGAAUUGUAUAAUAUAUUUUAUAAUUUAAGAUGUUUUGUUGUUCACAUUACUGCAAUCAAUCACAUAUGUGAUUACAUGUCCUGAGUGGAAGGAUUUAAAUGUUUGAUUUUAUUUCUGACUUAAGGUAUCAUUACAAUCAUGAUUAUUAUCUAAUUAAUCAAAAUUAUGCAAAUAUCUGUUUUAGUAAAUAAUCACUAAAUAUAAAAUAAUAAAAUUUGAAAGGUACAUCUUACAGUAAACAUAGAGCUGAUGUGUACUUCCCAACAUUUUAUUUUGGAAAAUUUUAAAUUCACAAAGUUGCAAGGAUGACACAAUGAACACCCAUAUAUUCUUCACCUAAAUUCAACAAUUGUUAACAUUUUCUUGUGUUUGCAUCCUCUCUCUCUCUCUCUCUCUCUGUCUCUCUCUCUCUAGUUUUGUUUUUCCAUGGAACCUUUUGAGACAGUUCAAAUGGCGGUGAGGACAUGCAUCCAUAAUAAUACAAUGGAAGGCAGAGUGCAUGGGCAUGAUACAGAUGGUGGGCAAAAUGUGGUAGGGGACAUAUGGAAGCUUCUAUUUUUUUGUGUGUGUGAAAGAGGAAUCAAGAGGAAGGAGGAGGAGUUGUUGGAUGUUUAUAAAAAGGCGAGAAAGUAUGAGUCAUAUUGACCAGUGGACUUGUGUCUCGGGUGGGGAACCCCCACCUGGAAGUGUAAAAAGACCCUUUUUUUUAACGGGGUACAAGACCAUGUAGAGUUUUAAGCAAUCCAUUUCCAUGUGUAUUUCCUCCUUAGAAUUCUGCCUGCCACUCCCUCCAUCUUCCCAACUUCAAGAAUCCCAUUCUUAAAUCACCACCUAUUUGCAACUUGUUUCCUCUAUUUCCAUGACUUCAACAAUGCUUCGGACUCAUGUUCUCCUUGAUGCACUUUCUUUAUGAGCCUUCUAGGACACCAUGUUCAUCUAGUUUUCCUUCUACCUAAUUGUUCACUGCUUCUGGGCUUCCACUGCUUCUUCAUCCUCAGUCCUGACUGCUAAAUGUUGAAGCACGUAUGGCUGAAACCUUGAACUGCUUCUCUUCUCCCUCCAUACCAUUGUCUAUAUUAUCUCAUCCAGUCUCAUAGCUUUAACAACCAUGUAUGUGCUCACAACUUCUCAAUUUGUAUCUCCAGCCUGACCUCUUCUAUCAGUUCAAGAUUGUGUAUCUAACUACCUAAAUAAAAUCUUCACUUCUCUGAAUAGUAAACAUGCAAAACGUUUUAGUCAAAACCAAACUCCUGCUACUUUUGUCUCCAAACCUGCUAUACCUGAGAUCUUCCCCACCCCAUUUAUAGCAAUUCAAUUCUUUCCAGUGCUCAGGUCAAAAAUUUCAGAGUCACUCUUUAUUUCUCUCUCUCCUUCAACUCCCAUUGCCAAUUCAUCAGCGAAUCCUGUUGGCUCUACCUCAUAAACAUAUUCAGAAUCCAACCACUUCUCAUCAUCUCCACUGUUACCCCCUGGACAUUGCCACUGCCAUGCCACACCUGGAAUUACUACAUCAGCUGCCCUACAUUCACUCUUGCCUCUUCUCAACACAGCCAUAAUUCUGCUGGCUGCUCAGAAUCUGCCAAUGGCCAGAGUCCUUACCAUCGCCUACAAGUCCCUUCCUGACUGUCCCCAUUACCUCUCUAGGUGCACCUCCUGCCAUCUCACCUACUCCCAUCCCGUUCCAGCCAUUUCAGCUUCUUUGCUGGAUGCCCAAAGUGCCAGGCAUUCUCUCACCUCAUGCUUUUGCACCUGCUGUUGUUGCUUACAGGGCUUAUGCACCUGAGAGGUUCCAAAUCUUAAUUUUCAUUAGCUUUACAGUAAACCUACCUCUGACUAUUGCUCUGGAGAGCCUGACAAGACCAAACUAGGCUCCAGCCCAGAAACGCACUGACACCGUGACACUACACAGGGCUCUUUUUGGCCACUGCAAUGGUUUCUGACUUGCCCUGACUCUUGUGACCAGGGCUUGGCAGCCACCAACAUCAUACCUUUGGGCUGCUAUUCAAUCAAGCCUCAGGCAUACAUAGAUUUGAAUAAAUUUCCAUGCUUUGUAAUGUAUUUGUCAGCAAUCAAUGGGGCCAAUGUAAGGUCAGUUGUUCUUUCUCUCUUUCUCUUUCAUCUUAUUUUCUAUCUUCUCAGAGAGGAGAACAAUAGAUGAGUCUAUGUCCUUUGUUCCUCUUCUGAAACCCAAAAAGAAGCUUCUCAGAGUCAUUUAUAGGAACACGUGAUAGUUCUGUUUGCUUUUCUCGCCUUAUGUCUUCCCAAUUCUUUCACAGAUCUGUAAGACCACAUUUGCAUCAAACAUUGGAUGUUAUAGGUCUCUUCCAUAAUAUUUCUGAGAUAAAAAGCUCUGUAGGUGCAGUCAUGUAGAUCAAGUGAAUUCAGCAAACGUGUAUGACACUGUACAAAGGAUGUAACAGGGAGUUUGGAUAGACAUGGUACCCUGAGGGGAGCCUGUGCUCUGGAGAGGGCAGACAGAGAAUGGCAAAUGUAUUUUAGAGCUGUAAGACCAAGCAGAUGACAAUGAUGUAUAACAAGGAAAGUUAAAACAAACUUGUGGGAUGUAGGGUGUGUAGAGAGCUAUAAGAAUUCAAGAGGUAUAAAGAGCACAUUGAGUUCUAAAUUCUACACGAAGAGGGUAACAUAUUCUAUGGAACUUUAAAAAGAGGUAGAAUUUCAGCAUACAUAGAUGGGCUGGGAGAGUAGGAGAAAGAGCAACGUUCCAGGCAACAAGCACAGCAUGAGCAAAAAUAAGGGAAUCAGAGGAGCAUGGGGCAUAUCCAGGGAAAAGUGAGCAUGUAGCUUAGCUGCAGUGUGGAAGAAUAUGUUGGGAAAGGGUUUUUUAAAAUUAGAAGGAAUAAAUUAGG